RNAcentral lists this ribosomal RNA (1015 nucleotides) under uncultured bacterium. RNAcentral's name for it is "bacterial SSU rRNA". It matches the Rfam family "Bacterial small subunit ribosomal RNA", at positions 357 to 1376 of the family's 1533-position model. The record is from RNAcentral.
AGGAAUAUUGGUCAAUGGGCGAGAGCCUGAACCAGCCAAGUAGCGUGAAGGAUGACUGCCCUAUGGGUUGUAAACUUCUUUUAUAAAGGAAUAAAGUCGGGUAUGGAUACCCGUUUGCAUGUACUUUAUGAAUAAGGAUCGGCUAACUCCGUGCCAGCAGCCGCGGUAAUACGGAGGAUCCGAGCGUUAUCCGGAUUUAUUGGGUUUAAAGGGAGCGUAGAUGGAUGUUUAAGUCAGUUGUGAAAGUUUGCGGCUCAACCGUAAAAUUGCAGUUGAUACUGGAUAUCUUGAGUGCAGUUGAGGCAGGCGGAAUUCGUGGUGUAGCGGUGAAUGCUUAGAUAUCACGAAGAACUCCGAUUGCGAAGGCAGCCUGCUAAGCUGCAACUGACAUUGAGGCUCGAAAGUGUGGGUAUCAAACAGGAUUAGAUACCCUGGUAGUCCACACGGUAAACGAUGAAUACUCGCUGUUUGCGAUAUACUGCAAGCGGCCAAGCGAAAGCGUUAAGUAUUCCACCUGGGGAGUACGCCGGCAACGGUGAAACUCAAAGGAAUUGACGGGGGCCCGCACAAGCGGAGGAACAUGUGGUUUAAUUCGAUGAUACGCGAGGAACCUUACCCGGGCUUAAAUUGCAGAUGAAUUACGGUGAAAGCCGUAAGCCGCAAGGCAUCUGUGAAGGUGCUGCAUGGUUGUCGUCAGCUCGUGCCGUGAGGUGUCGGCUUAAGUGCCAUAACGAGCGCAACCCUUGCCGAUAGUUACUAACAGGUUAUGCUGAGGACUCUGUCGGGACUGCCAUCGUAAGAUGUGAGGAAGGUGGGGAUGACGUCAAAUCAGCACGGCCCUUACGUCCGGGGCUACACACGUGUUACAAUGGGGGGUACAGAGGGCUGCUACCACGCAAGUGGAUGCCAAUCCCAAAAACCUCUCUCAGUUCGGAUUGAAGUCUGCAACCCGACUUCAUGAAGCUGGAUUCGCUAGUAAUCGCGCAUCAGCCACGGCGCGGUGAAUACGUUCCCG